UAUGUGUCGUUUUGUUUAUGUAUAUUGCUGGUGUAUAUUGACUCAGUGUGCAGUAACCAUGUCUUUCUAUCUUCGGAAGGCAUGGUCAGUAGAACACCUGCACAACAGUAUCCAUGGCUGCAUGUUUUGUGUACAGAUUGGUUGGCAUAUGUGUUUACUUGUUGUGGACAGCCAGUACCAGUGAGUUGGCACAAAGAGCCUGGUCUCCUGACGCAUAUAUUGGAAAUCAAUUCUGUGCAUGCAAGCCACCAACAAGCCUCUGUAAUAUCCCUGUUACUGCAACUCCCUGGAAAGGAAAAUGCAUGAUUAGCAUGCAGAUAUUAGUAAUUAUCGUUUUACCUAAACAUGUUUGAUCAAUGACCCUGCUUAUCUUGUGACCUCUUACUUGAGGGUUAUUCUGAAAACUUUGUUGACAUGAAAUUGGCUCAGUGUUUUUCAAUAAAAAGUUAAUUGACAUUGAAUGAAUGGAUGCAUGCCCACGUUCAGGAUGCUGACCAUCUACAAUGGGUUUAGUCAGGUGAUUAGCUUUUUCCAUGACUUGAUCAAAACAAUGAGUAUGUUUCCUGUAAUAUAAAGAUGUAAUGAAAUACUUCCUGUGGUUUUGGUUCUUGUUUUAAUGUCUCAUUCAAUCUGUUGAUAAGCGAUUCCACUCUGCCAUGCUCAGUCUUAACAUUAGCUAUGGCAAAGACGUAACACUUCCCAUCCCAUUUGGGUACUGUGAGACUAAGACUGCUGAUGCUCUUCCCGCUAAAAUGAACUUCUCUCACAGAGCUUCCAUUCUUAUCUCUAUGCAAAGCAAAAGGAUUUAAAGGGGCCUUCGUCUUAUGUCUGUGACGACGAUCAUAUCUACGAUGUCAGAUGGGAUUCAGUGCUAUUGUUGAAGAGGGAUUUGAUAAGGCCAGUGUAACGCAUAAGAAAUAGUUCAAAUGUAAUUUCCGCCUUAAAACAGUGUUAGCAGUCACACAGUGGUAGAUCAAUGCUUCCCUGUGUCUUAUUGAGAUCAUAUAUUUUCAAGCAACGAGGUACUGAUUCUUAUUGCAACCGCAACCACCUGUAUCUUAAAAGGUAAUUAUAUCCACUUGGGCUGAGAAAUACUGUCAAAACAAUACGAUAUGAAAUAUCGUCAACAAUAAUAUCCCGAUAUGUAACUGUAUCCAUUUUCCUCCAUCACCAAUAUCCACAAUUAUUGAUUUCAAUUAGCUCAUGCUAGUGCCCAGAGCUGCCGUAGUAAGAUACAGUAUCAAAACCCUGACAAUGCUGCAACAGUAACAAUCAAGCUUUGAAUUCUAGUUGUGUUUUUCAGUUCCGUCAUGCCAGCUGUACCAUGAAAGGAUUUGCUGAGCUGUGAGAGAUGAGCUCUUGGAGGACACCGGGCCCCCCAUCGGCCCUCCCGGUUGGGGUGUCUCCCCAAUUACUGUGGUGCUGGUGAGGACGGCCUACACCUGGCUGGUGUCUCAGCGAGUUCUCCCUAGUCUUCAUCAUCGGUACCCAGAGUACAUUAGAGGUGGUGAGAGGCUAGCAGGGCGGAGGUGGAGGGUUGGAGAGAAGCGGUUUUAGAGCCGCACUGUGCCACUCCACACGGGGCCUCUCUCUCUCACACACAGGCUGGCAGGUGGUAGAAACACAACAAUAAAGCCCUGUGCCAUGUUAUUCCUGAGAACGCAUGUCAUGGCCUCC
Molecule: long non-coding RNA, 1677 nt
Filed under: Salmo salar (Atlantic salmon)
Lineage: Eukaryota; Metazoa; Chordata; Actinopteri; Salmoniformes; Salmonidae
Description: lncRNA (ENSSSAG00000111793.1)
Source: RNAcentral